UACGUAGGGUGCAAGCGUUGUCCGGAAUUAUUGGGCGUAAAGAGCUCGUAGGCGGUCAGUCGCGUCUGCUGUGAAAACUCGGGGCUUAACUCCGGGCCUGCAGUGGGUACGGGCUGACUAGAGUGCGGUAGGGGAGACUGGAAUUCCUGGUGUAGCGGUGAAAUGCGCAGAUAUCGGGAGGAACACCGGUGGCGAAGGCGGUUCUCUGGGCCUUACCUGACGCUGAGGAGCGAAAGCGUGGGGAGCGAACAGG
This 253-nucleotide ribosomal RNA is filed under the name uncultured bacterium. Its description in RNAcentral is "partial 16S ribosomal RNA". It matches the Rfam family "Bacterial small subunit ribosomal RNA", at positions 524 to 776 of the family's 1533-position model. The record is from RNAcentral.